GGGGCCGACCGGUUUUGACAGCAAGACCAAUGGCGAUGUAAGCAUGUCGAGCGCUGGGAUACAGCUCGUUAAUCUCAUGUUUCACACUUUUUAAUUGGCGAAAAUAAUUACGCUCUUGCCGCAUAAUCUGAAUUAUAGUAGGAUGUGCCUCGUCCCUACCAGGUAGGGAAGCGAGAUGUUCCUGAAUAGCCCUUGUUGACGGCGAUUCGUUUAGGAGCACCAAAAAAGUCAACACAAGGGUGUUCGUUCGCUUUGGCGACACCUCUAAAACCUUAAGAAGAUAAGUGUAUAUUAGGCCGUAUCUGGUCAGGUAUGCAACGAAAAUUAAGCAGAUACUAAGCAUGUAGAAAGCAUGGUUAUUGCUUGUUUGGACGAGGGUUCGAAUCCCUCCGGCUCCACUG
This is a non-coding RNA of 401 nucleotides. It matches the Rfam family "transfer-messenger RNA". From Rfam's summary of the family: Bacterial tmRNA, also known as 10Sa RNA or SsrA, is named for its dual tRNA and mRNA-like properties. Its role is to liberate the mRNA from a stalled ribosome. To accomplish this part of the tmRNA is used as a reading frame that ends in a translation stop signal. The record is from Rfam.